This 394-nucleotide ribosomal RNA is filed under the name uncultured bacterium. RNAcentral describes it as "bacterial SSU rRNA". It matches the Rfam family "Bacterial small subunit ribosomal RNA", at positions 505 to 898 of the family's 1533-position model. The record is from RNAcentral.
GUGCCAGCAGCCGCGGUAAUACGGAGGAUGCGAGCGUUAUCCGGAUUUAUUGGGUUUAAAGGGUGCGCAGGCGGCGUGCCAAGUCAGCGGUCAAAGUUCCGGGCUCAACCCGGUGAUGCCGUUGAAACUGGUGUGCUUGAGUGCGUGCGAGGGAGGCGGAAUGCGUUGUGUAGCGGUGAAAUGCAUAGAUAUGACGCAGAACUCCGAUUGCGAAGGCAGCUUUCCAGCACGCCACUGACGCUGAGGCACGAAAGCGUGGGGAUCGAACAGGAUUAGAUACCCUGGUAGUCCACGCAGUAAACGAUGACUACUAUCUUUUCGGUCCGAUUGUGGAUUGUGAGGAACAGCGAAAGCGUUAAGUAGUCCACCUGGGGAGUACGCCGGCAACGGUGAA